RNAcentral lists this ribosomal RNA (430 nucleotides) under Acidobacteriota bacterium. RNAcentral describes it as "Acidobacteria bacterium partial 16S ribosomal RNA". It matches the Rfam family "Bacterial small subunit ribosomal RNA", at positions 355 to 776 of the family's 1533-position model. The record is from RNAcentral. Lineage: Bacteria; Pseudomonadati; Acidobacteriota.
UGGGGAAUAUUGGACGAUGGGCGCAAGCCUGAUCCAGCCAUGCCGCGUGUGUGAAGAAGGCCUUUUGGUUGUAAAGCACUUUAAGCGAGGAGGAGGCUACUUGGAUUAAUACUCUAAGAUAGUGGACGUUACUCGCAGAAUAAGCACCGGCUAACUCUGUGCCAGCAGCCGCGGUAAUACAGAGGGUGCGAGCGUUAAUCGGAUUUACUGGGCGUAAAGCGUGCGUAGGCGGCUUCUUAAGUCGGAUGUGAAAUCCCUGAGCUUAACUUAGGAAUUGCAUUCGAUACUGGGAAGCUAGAGUAUGGGAGAGGAUGGUAGAAUUCCAGGUGUAGCGGUGAAAUGCGUAGAGAUCUGGAGGAAUACCGAUGGCGAAGGCAGCCAUCUGGCCUAAUACUGACGCUGAGGUACGAAAGCAUGGGGAGCAAACAGG